Molecule: ribosomal RNA, 609 nt
Filed under: Penicillium sp. 36
Lineage: Eukaryota; Fungi; Ascomycota; Eurotiomycetes; Eurotiales; Aspergillaceae
Description: eukaryotic LSU rRNA
Rfam family: 5.8S ribosomal RNA (bases 231-383)
Source: RNAcentral
GGAAGUAAAAGUCGUAACAAGGUUUCCGUAGGUGAACCUGCGGAAGGAUCAUUACCGAGUGAGGGCCCUCUGGGUCCAACCUCCCACCCGUGUUUAUUUUACCUUGUUGCUUCGGCGGGCCCGCCUUAACUGGCCGCCGGGGGGCUUACGCCCCCGGGCCCGCGCCCGCCGAAGACACCCUCGAACUCUGUCUGAAGAUUGUAGUCUGAGUGAAAAUAUAAAUUAUUUAAAACUUUCAACAACGGAUCUCUUGGUUCCGGCAUCGAUGAAGAACGCAGCGAAAUGCGAUACGUAAUGUGAAUUGCAAAUUCAGUGAAUCAUCGAGUCUUUGAACGCACAUUGCGCCCCCUGGUAUUCCGGGGGGCAUGCCUGUCCGAGCGUCAUUGCUGCCCUCAAGCACGGCUUGUGUGUUGGGCCCCGUCCUCCGAUCCCGGGGGACGGGCCCGAAAGGCAGCGGCGGCACCGCGUCCGGUCCUCGAGCGUAUGGGGCUUUGUCACCCGCUCUGUAGGCCCGGCCGGCGCUUGCCGAUCAACCCAAAUUUUUAUCCAGGUUGACCUCGGAUCAGGUAGGGAUACCCGCUGAACUUAAGCAUAUCAAUAAGCGGAGGA